UACGAAGGGGGCUAGCGUUGCUCGGAAUCACUGGGCGUAAAGCGCACGUAGGCGGCUUUUUAAGUCAGGGGUGAAAUCCUGGAGCUCAACUCCAGAACUGCCUUUGAUACUGGGAAGCUUGAGUCCGGGAGAGGUGAGUGGAACUCCGAGUGUAGAGGUGAAAUUCGUAGAUAUCUGGAGGAAUACCGGUGGCGAAGGCGGCAUCCUGGACCGGCAUUGACGCUGAUGAGCGAAAGCUAGGGGAGCAAACGGGG
This 254-nucleotide ribosomal RNA is filed under the name uncultured bacterium. Its description in RNAcentral is "partial 16S ribosomal RNA". It matches the Rfam family "Bacterial small subunit ribosomal RNA", at positions 524 to 777 of the family's 1533-position model. The record is from RNAcentral.